This is a long non-coding RNA of Pseudopipra pipra, 311 nucleotides long. RefSeq lists it as uncharacterized. The transcript is spliced from 2 exons. NCBI's taxonomy places the organism in Eukaryota, Metazoa, Chordata, Aves, Passeriformes, Pipridae. The record is from RefSeq and is a predicted model, not a curated record.
GCACGGACGGCGAUGGCGGGGGAAGGCGCGCGCGGGGCGGUGGCGGCUCUGCGCGCAUUUUGCAGAACCCGGGUGGAGUCAUGGCCCCCUUAGCCGGGCUUGUGUUGAUUUCAGCAGGGCAACUUCCAGAAGUUAAGACGACUUGUAACAUCUCUGUGCUUAGUUUUGGGGGUCAAAGUGGCAAAUUCUAGUCCUCACGAUCAUCCUUUCCUUUAGACACAGUUAAAACCAGAGUCUUCUCCGUGUACACAUGGCUGGAAGUUGGUAGUUUGAGUUUGUGCUUAUUAUCCUAAUAAAAUAUUUGCAAUGAA